This 491-nucleotide ribosomal RNA is filed under the name uncultured bacterium. RNAcentral describes it as "partial 16S ribosomal RNA". It matches the Rfam family "Bacterial small subunit ribosomal RNA", at positions 29 to 507 of the family's 1533-position model. The record is from RNAcentral.
GUGAACGCUGGCGGUAGGCCUAACACAUGCAAGUCGAACGGCAGCACAGUAAGAGCUUGCUCUUACGGGUGGCGAGUGGCGGACGGGUGAGGAAUACAUCGGAAUCUACUUUUUCGUGGGGGAUAACGUAGGGAAACUUACGCUAAUACCGCAUACGACCUACGGGUGAAAGCAGGGGAUCUUCGGACCUUGCGCGAUUGAAUGAGCCGAUGUCGGAUUAGCUAGUUGGCGGGGUAAAGGCCCACCAAGGCGACGAUCCGUAGCUGGUCUGAGAGGAUGAUCAGCCACACUGGAACUAAGACACGGUCCAGACUCCUACGGGAGGCAGCAGUGGGGAAUAUUGGACAAUGGGCGCAAGCCUGAUCCAGCCAUACCGCGUGGGUGAAGAAGGCCUUCGGGUUGUAAAGCCCUUUUGUUGGGAAAGAAAAGCAGCAGGUUAAUACCCCGCUGUUCUGACGGUACCCAAAGAAUAAGCACCGGCUAACUUCGUG